This 440-nucleotide ribosomal RNA is filed under the name uncultured bacterium. RNAcentral describes it as "partial 16S ribosomal RNA". It matches the Rfam family "Bacterial small subunit ribosomal RNA", at positions 355 to 786 of the family's 1533-position model. The record is from RNAcentral.
UAGGGAAUCUUCGGCAAUGGACGAAAGUCUGACCGAGCAACGCCGCGUGAGUGAAGAAGGUUUUCGGAUCGUAAAACUCUGUUGUUAGAGAAGAACGUUGCAUAGAGUGGAAAAUUAUGCAAGUGACGGUAUCUAACCAGAAAGGGACGGCUAACUACGUGCCAGCAGCCGCGGUAAUACGUAGGUCCCGAGCGUUGUCCGGAUUUAUUGGGCGUAAAGCGAGCGCAGGUGGUUUAAUAAGUCUGAUGUAAAAAGGCAGUGGCUCAACCAUUGUGUGCAUUGGAAACUGUUAGACUUGAGUGCAGUAGAGGAGAGUGGAAUUCCAUGUGUAGCGGUGAAAUGCGUAGAUAUAUGGAGGAACACCGGUGGCGAAAGCGGCUCUCUGGACUGUCACUGACACUGAGGCUCGAAAGCGUGGGUAGCAAACAGGAUUAGAUACC